GAGUCGCCGGAUCCAUGAAAGACCAGAGCUCCUCCGCCAUGGGUUUCAUCCUCGUGCUCCGCGAGUCUGCUUCAGGUUGCUGGGUGCCCAUCUCUGGACACCACCCACGCAUCAGCCCGACUGAUCUCGAGUUCAGAGAUGUUUCAGCUUAUGCGUGAGAUCAUCCAAGUCAACAACAUCAGCUAGCUCUUCUGAUCCAGUGCUGGGCAUUGGCCCAUUUCUCUCCUGGUGUAGAUGUCGCCCACGAGCAGCAGCCUGCUAUCCUACCCCAGCAGCAGACGAGAUCCAGCCCAGGACCAUGCAG
Long non-coding RNA from Lolium rigidum, 304 nucleotides. RefSeq lists it as uncharacterized. The record is from RefSeq and is a predicted model, not a curated record. NCBI's taxonomy places the organism in Eukaryota, Viridiplantae, Streptophyta, Magnoliopsida, Poales, Poaceae. The transcript has 3 exons.